GGCCACAGACAGUAGAAGCACAUAAAAUAUCGCAAACAACACCACUCUGAAAACAAGGGAAUUCCAGACAGGAAACAAUCAGGGCCAGCUAACACCUCCCAACAAAAAAUUCACUCAGGGAGGAAACAGCCAGGCUUUAAAGCUGCAAGGCCAUUACAUCCUAAUCAUUUUUCCUAAUUGCAGCAUUCAUACUUGCCUCCAACAAACAAAAAAAACCAAUCAGAAAUAUUGUAUAUUCACAACCUUUAGGAAAUAAUAUCCCCUGAUGGCGCAGCGUGUUAAAGCGCUGAGCUGCUGAACUACUGGACCGAAAGGCCACAGGUUUGAAUUGAGGGAGCGGAGAGAGCCCCCACUGUUAGCCCCAGCUUCUGCCAACCCAGAAGUUCGAAAACAUGCAAAUGUGAGUGCAUCAAUAGGUACUGCUCCGGCAGGAAGGUAACGCCGCUCCAUGUAGUCAUCCCACAUGACCUUGGAGGAGUCUACGGACAACGCCGGCUCUUCGGUUUAGAAAUGGAGAUGAGCACCAACCCCCUGAGUCAGACAUGACUGGACUUAAUGUCAGGGGAAAACCUUUACCCUUGACCUUAACUACCACCAAUUCCUCAAUACUUUAUUUCCCAGACCACCAGACUUUGCCACAGCAAAGCUAGUUGUAUAUAAAAUGGUCCUUUCUUUUAAGGCAUGCCUUAGUUUAAGAGUCCUCUGUUAAAAAAAGGUCAUUUUCUGUUUAAUGAAGUGUGUUCUAUACAUGCACACACAUACAUACAUAAUGCCAAUUUGAUAUAAUAAAGGAUGUUGUUGAAACUCACAUUCAGUUUGUAAAAUGAAUUUGGGGGUUUCAUACUAUUGAAAGGAGGAGCUGAGGAGCCUUAUAACCAAGGUGAAAGAAGAAAGAAGAAGAGAAUGGUUCCUUUUAAAAUAAGAUACAGUAGAGUCUCACUUAUCCAACAUUCACUUAUCCAACGUUCUGGAUUAUCCAACAUAUUUUUGUUGUCAAUAUUUUCAAUACAUAGUGAUAUUUUGGUGCUAAAUUUGUAAAUACAGUAAUUACUACAUAGCAUUAUUGCGUAUUGAACUACUUUUUCUGUCAAAUUUGUUGUAUAACAUGAUGUUUUGGUGCUUAAUUUGUAAAAUCAUAACCUAAUUUGAUGUUUAAUAGGCUUUUCCUUAAUCUCUCCUUAUUAUCCAACAUAUUUGCUUAUCCAACGUUCUGCCAGCCCGUUUACGUUGGAUAAGCGAGACUCCACUGUAAUAAUAAUAAUAAUAAUAAUAAUAAUAAUAAUAAUAAUAAUAAUAAAUCUCAGCAAACAAAAAGAAAACUCUCAUUCUCUGAAAUCUACUACCACCUAGUUACCUCUCCUUUAGUGUAGAAAGUAGAAAUAGCUUUAAUGAAGCAUUGAACCCGGAGAUUGAAGUCUGCCUGCCCAUUCCAGACAGAGCCUGCAGUAGAGCAAAAAGAGGGGUUUUUAAAGGAAGCUCGGGGAGAUAGAUCCAGGUCGAUUGCUCUUUCUUCCCUGGAAAGUGGGAAGCCUCCUCAAAUGCCUUGGAAUCUGGUGCAGGGAGAGAGAGCAUGUGCAUGCAGCCUGUCUCCUCUAGAGUAGAAAGAAACAGCUUUAGCAAAGCAUUAAACCUGGUCUCUUCUACAGACAGAAGGGAAAGAAUCACAGAAAGAGUGUUAUCUUAACUCUGAUCAUUUUAAUCCAGGUCUUAAUGAAAGCUAUGGAAGGGGAGCCUCUUUUUCCUUGAAGGAAAAAAG
This is a long non-coding RNA of Anolis carolinensis (green anole), 1756 nucleotides long. Lineage: Eukaryota; Metazoa; Chordata; Lepidosauria; Squamata; Anolidae. The record is from Ensembl.